Erinaceus europaeus (western European hedgehog) is the source of this 319-nucleotide non-coding RNA. The record is from Rfam. NCBI's taxonomy places the organism in Eukaryota, Metazoa, Chordata, Mammalia, Eulipotyphla, Erinaceidae.
GGAUGUGAGGGUGAUCUGGCUACAACAUCUGUCACACCACUGAUCACCAGGGUUGAUUCAGCUGAUCUGACUGGCUAGGUGGGUGACCCCUUCCUCCCUCACCGCUCCAUGUGCAUCCCUCCCGAAGCUGCACACUUGGCCGAAGAGGAUAGCCUUCCCCGAAUAGAGACGGACUGGUCUUCGGCCUAGGGUAUACGAGUAGCUGCGCUCCCCUGCUAGAACCUCCAAACAAGCUCUCCUAUGUAGAACGUGUAUACAUGAUAUGCUUCCAAAUGUAUGUUGAAAGCCCAAUGGAGGGGGCCGGCAAGUGGCGCACAUU